CGUCUUUCUGAACUCCCCCGACUAUCCGAGCUUCCAUAAUACUAUCCGGACUUCUCCGAUAAUGAGCUCCUCUAUUCAUAUACCAGACUGCUCCAAAUACUCUCCGAGCUUCAUUAUCAGCCGACUUUCUACAAUGAUCGGCUACCCUCUGAAUCUCUUCCAGACUUCUUCCUGCCAUGAACGACUUUACUCCGAACUUCUUCCGGACUUCGUCAAUGUCCGAGCUUCUCCAGCAGCAGGAUCUCUACAGUAACCAGACUCCAUCCAAGUUUCUACG
This 277-nucleotide long non-coding RNA is filed under the name Elaeis guineensis (African oil palm). RNAcentral's name for it is "long non-coding RNA (EGUI_LNC057981)". Lineage: Eukaryota; Viridiplantae; Streptophyta; Magnoliopsida; Arecales; Arecaceae. The record is from RNAcentral.